UACGUAGGGUGCGAGCGUUAAUCGGAAUUACUGGGCGUAAAGCGUGCGCAGGCGGUUCGUUGUGUCUGUGGUGAAAGCCCCGGGCUUAACCUGGGAAUGGCCAUGGAAACUGGCGAGCUGGAGUCUGGCAGAGGGGGGUGGAAUUCCGCGUGUAGCAGUGAAAUGCGUAGAGAUGCGGAGGAACACCGAUGGCGAAGGCAGCCCCCUGGGUCAGCACUGACGCUCAUGCACGAAAGCGUGGGGAGCAAACAGG
RNAcentral lists this ribosomal RNA (253 nucleotides) under uncultured bacterium. Its description in RNAcentral is "partial 16S ribosomal RNA". It matches the Rfam family "Bacterial small subunit ribosomal RNA", at positions 524 to 776 of the family's 1533-position model. The record is from RNAcentral.